AUUGAACGCUGGCGGCAUGCCUUACACAUGCAAGUCGAACGGCAGCACGGGUGCUUGCACCUGGUGGCGAGUGGCGAACGGGUGAGUAAUACAUCGGAACGUACCUUAUCGUGGGGGAUAACGCAGCGAAAGCUGUGCUAAUACCGCAUACGCCCUGAGGGGGAAAGCGGGGGAUCGCAAGACCUCGCGCGAUUAGAGCGGCCGAUGCCUGAUUAGCUAGUUGGUGGGGUAAAAGCCCACCAAGGCGACGAUCAGUAGCUGGGCUGAGAGGACGAUCAGCCACACUGGGACUGAGACACGGCGCAGACUCCGACGGGAGGCAGCGGUGGGGAAUUUUGGAGAAUGGGGGCAACCCUGAGCCAGCAAUGCCGCGUGAGUGAAGAAGGCCUUCGGGUUGUAAAGCUCUUUUGUCAGGGAAGAAACACCGGCUCUAACACAGUCCGGGAAUGACGGUACCUGAAGAAUAAGCACCGGCUAACUACGUGCCAGCCGCCGCAGUAA
This 501-nucleotide ribosomal RNA is filed under the name uncultured bacterium. RNAcentral's name for it is "partial 16S ribosomal RNA". It matches the Rfam family "Bacterial small subunit ribosomal RNA", at positions 29 to 523 of the family's 1533-position model. The record is from RNAcentral.